GUUGACCUCGAUUCAGGUAGGGAUACCCGU
This 30-nucleotide ribosomal RNA is filed under the name Neocatenulostroma microsporum. Its description in RNAcentral is "partial 26S ribosomal RNA". The record is from RNAcentral. Lineage: Eukaryota; Fungi; Ascomycota; Dothideomycetes; Mycosphaerellales; Teratosphaeriaceae.